This 256-nucleotide ribosomal RNA is filed under the name uncultured bacterium. Its description in RNAcentral is "partial 16S ribosomal RNA". It matches the Rfam family "Bacterial small subunit ribosomal RNA", at positions 98 to 354 of the family's 1533-position model. The record is from RNAcentral.
CGGGACGGGUGAGUAACGCGUGGAGAACCUGCCGUAUACUGGGGGAUAACACUUAGAAAUAGGUGCUAAUACCGCAUAAGCGCACAGCUUCGCAUGAAGCAGUGUGAAAAACUCCGGUGGUAUACGAUGGAUCCGCGUCUGAUUAGCUGGUUGGCGGGGUAACAGCCCACCAAGGCGACGAUCAGUAGCCGGCCUGAGAGGGUGAACGGCCACAUUGGGACUGAGACACGGCCCAAACUCCUACGGAAGGCAGCAG